CUAAGAAAGUUACAAGAACUGCUAACUCUUGAUUCCAUGAUUAAACCCCAUGGCUUUCUU
Molecule: non-coding RNA, 60 nt
Organism: Sarcophilus harrisii (Tasmanian devil)
Lineage: Eukaryota; Metazoa; Chordata; Mammalia; Dasyuromorphia; Dasyuridae
Source: Ensembl